UACGUAGGGUGCGAGCGUUGUCCGGAAUUACUGGGCGUAAAGAGUUCGUAGGUGGUUUGUCGCGUUGUUCGUGAAAACUCACAGCUUAACUGUGGGCGUGCGGGCGAUACGGGCAGACUGGAGUACUGCAGGGGAGACUGGAAUUCCUGGUGUAGCGGUGGAAUGCGCAGAUAUCAGGAGGAACACCGGUGGCGAAGGCGGGUCUCUGGGCAGUAACUGACGCUGAGGAGCGAAAGCGUGGGGAGCAAACAGG
This 253-nucleotide ribosomal RNA is filed under the name uncultured bacterium. Its description in RNAcentral is "partial 16S ribosomal RNA". It matches the Rfam family "Bacterial small subunit ribosomal RNA", at positions 524 to 776 of the family's 1533-position model. The record is from RNAcentral.